Molecule: long non-coding RNA, 2356 nt
Organism: Ictalurus punctatus (channel catfish)
Lineage: Eukaryota; Metazoa; Chordata; Actinopteri; Siluriformes; Ictaluridae
Source: Ensembl
GGCCUAGAGACUAGCACGCAGAAAGACGCAUGGAUGGACAGACGGGUCAAGAGACUAGCACGCAGAAAGACACAUGGAUGGACAGACGGGUCAAGAGACUGGCACGCAGAAAGAUGCAUUGGUGGACAGAUGGGCCAAGAGACUACCACGCAGAAAGACGCAUUGGUGGACAGAGAGACAGAAACUCGGGUGGAACACAUGGAUGCACAGACAGAUAGAUACAAAGACAGGUGUACAGAUGGACAAAUAACAGGACCGAUCAAAAGACAGACAGAUGGACAGGCAGACAGGAAGAUGUGUGGACAGACCAACUGAUGGAUGGCUACAUGGAUUGAAAGACUGAUAAAUGGAUGGAUAUUCUGACUGACAUACAGACGGGUGAUUAAACCUACAGCUGGGAGGCUAGACUGCUGAGCAGACAAAUAGAGAAUCAUGCGGAUAGAAAAAAAAAUUCUAUCCGAAAUGAGUGUAAAUUCAUGUUCCUGAUUCUGCGCGCACACCGAUACCCAGACCACACCAUCAGAAUAAAAUAUUAGGAAAGACACAUUCAGUCAGACAUUCGACUGCUGCUACUAUUAAUAUAGAUGGUGUGUAUUUCUGUCUCCCUUCAGCAGUGAAUACUGGCCAUGUGAAGUGCUGUCCUGCCGGCGUUCUCGUCAUGCUCGUCAUCGCUCGUCAUCGCUCCGUCUCUGUACGCAGACGCUACAUCCUACUCCUUCAUUUUAUUCGGUUUUCCUUCCUCCAUUCCUCGCAGGAGAGCGAAACCUGGCGAGCCCUUCCUUUACAAAGCUGAGCUUACUUCAUUUAUAAGUUUUUGUAUGUACUGUCUUAACUACUUAAUGGGAAUUAUUUUAAAAGCAACAUGUUUUCUCUAGUGCUCCUUUUAAAAUGGUUUCUUGUUCCUGUUGCUUUUUUUUGUGUGUGUGUAAAAUACACACACACACAUCCUGUUUGUUUUUUUUGUACAUAUAUGUGUGUUGAGCAAGGGGCAGGUACCGUGUACAGUGUUGAUUCGCCACACGGCUGCAGUGUUCAGCGAGACGGCGUCCCUUCAGUAAAAACGAAUCAUCAAUGCCAACCUUUAAAAACUGGCGUAUCGGUAAUCCGACACGUCUUCAUAUUAUGAUCAGUUUACCCCAGUUUACAAUACGACGAUAUCACGAUUACAUUUACAAUCCUACGUUAAUACACCGAUUAUGCAGAGUGACAGACGUCCGUGCUUCAUCAAGGGCGGAGCUUGCGUUCGAUCAGCCAAUUGCGAGUCUGAUCUUCAGCAUGAACGUUUCUGUUUGACGACUUACUGGUCUAAUCACACGACGUAACGGUGAACCUCACUAGCCAAAGACGGCUACCUUUUCUCCAGCUAACCAGUCUUAUCUAACUUUAACGUUAACUCUUCAGCAUAUGUUAUAUUGUGUGAUUAAAAUAAUUCUUUUAAUGCAUCACAAGUACAAGCGAUCUCACAUCUUGUUUGUGAUUGGCCGACUGCGUUGAUCUUUUUGACCACAGGACGCCUUUUACUUUGCAAAAUCAGGAUGUUUGGGGUUUUUUUUUUUCCAGUCCUGUUUUUUAAAAAUUAAUUUAUAUAUAAAUAUAUCUAUCGCCUUUACUCAAGAUAUGUCAACGAUACGGACACUUUAAAGAUGACUGUCCUUAUACUGCCUUAUGAGUAGGACAGAAUUUAUCCCCACAUAUUUAGUCCACGUGUGUCAAAUAUAGCAUAACUAACUAUUGGCACAUACUUAAUAUGUAGAUAUAAUGUACAUUUUAAUUGCAUUAGCACUGAUGAUGAUGAUGAUGAUGAUGAUGUCUAUUCCAUCCGAUCCAUAUACAGUGAUUUCGCUUUGAUCAAACACUAACAUACACAGACUAACCCCGGUCCUGCACACUAUUAUUAAAGACUUUAGCUUGAAUCGUGUGGAUGCAGAUGCACUCGUUAACGUGUGUGCAAACUUAAAGCCAGGUUUUACUCCAGUCGACAGAAAGAUGUGUUCUUAAACGAUGGUUUGAUCGAAUCUGUGGCCUCUUCGUAUCGAUACCGACGCCGUAAAUCCCUUAAGGCAAAACAAGACGCCAUGUUGUAUUGGAUUCAUGAGCACAGCUGCCAUUUGUAUCUUUGUUGUACCAUAAUAAACUGUUGUCUUUUCUUGAAGGCUCUCUUCACACCUUUAUUUAAAAUGUGUAUGGUAAUAAAGUUAAUGUAAAUUCAACUUACUGUGUUGCACAUUCAUUUAAAAUAAUUUUAAAAAAUGGAAAAAGCCAAAGCUUGCUUAUACAGACUGCAUUUAUGUUGGUGGGGUGUGUGUGUGUGUGUGUGUGUUAAGAUCAUUCAUUUGAAAAUAAUCUUAAAGCAAAC